GGGCGACGCCGGAGUUGCAGUUGGAGGCUGCGGGAAUACAAAGUGACACUGACUGCCGGGUAACUGUCUCUCAGGACAUUUGUGCUUUGAGUCUCUGCAACUCUGGACCAUCUCUGCAGGCUAAAAGAUGUGCCUGUUGCUAAGAGGAGGAGCCCUGCAGCAGGAAUCCGGUGCCAGCUGACCUGGAACAACCUGAUCUCCAGAAAGCAUCCCUGUUAUACUCAAAUGGGCCUUCCAGAUGAGCCCUACGGAGUCCCGCUCUUUCGCCCAGGUUGGAGUGCAGUGGCGCGAUCUCGGCUCACUGCAAGCUCUGCCUCCCGGGUUCACGCCAUUCUCCUGCCUCAGCCUCCGGAGUAGCUGGGACUACAGGCGCCCGCCACAGCGCCCGGCUAAUUUUUUGUAUUUUUAGUAGAGACGGGGUUUCACCGUGUUAGCCAGGAUGAUCUCGAUCUCCUGACCUCGUGAUCUGCCCGCCUCGGCCUCCCAAAGUGCUGGAAUUACAGGUGUGAGCCACCGCGCCCAGCCUAGUAGCUGCACAAUUUUACAUUUUUACCAGGAAUAUAUGAGGGUUUCAAUUUAUCCACAUCCUCAGCAACACUUCGUGGCCUGUCUUUUUAUUAUAGCCAUUCUUGUGGGUGUAAAGUAGAAUCUCAAUGUGGCACUGAUUUGCAUUUCUUUAAUGACUAAUGAUAUUGGACAUCUUUUCGUGUGCUUACUAUCCAUUUGCAUAUUUCCUUUACCAAAAUGUCUAUUGUGAUAACAUUUCCUACUUUAAAAAUUGGUUAUGUUUUUUAUUACUGAGUUGUAAGUAUUCUUUAUGUAUUAUGGGUACAAAUUCAUUAUCGGAUGUAUGAUUUAAAAAUAUUUUCAUCCCUUCAGUGUUUUGUCUUUUCACUUUUCUUGACAGUGUCUUUUAAAGCACAAAAGUUUUUAAAUUUAUCUAUUACUAUCUAAUUUACCUAUUUUUUAUUUUGUCUCUAGUGCUUUUGCUGUCCUUAGAAACCAUCCUCUCUAAUCAAAGGUUACAAAGAUCUGAUCUUAUGUUUCUUCUAAAAGUUUUGUAAAUUUUAUUAAACACAAGGUCUCUG
This is a long non-coding RNA of Homo sapiens (human), 1088 nucleotides long. Ensembl annotates it as FRMD3 antisense RNA 1. Its record names the gene FRMD3-AS1. The record is from Ensembl. NCBI's taxonomy places the organism in Eukaryota, Metazoa, Chordata, Mammalia, Primates, Hominidae.